RNAcentral lists this microRNA precursor (95 nucleotides) under Procavia capensis (Cape rock hyrax). RNAcentral's name for it is "miRNA (ENSPCAG00000019899.1)". Lineage: Eukaryota; Metazoa; Chordata; Mammalia; Hyracoidea; Procaviidae. The record is from RNAcentral.
AUAGAGAAGAACUGUCUAGAAUGGGUGUUUUGCUGUGUGUGUGUGAAUAUAUGUAUGUGUGUAUAUAUGUAUAUAUACACACACACAUACAUACA